This 1536-nucleotide ribosomal RNA is filed under the name Klebsiella pneumoniae. Its description in RNAcentral is "bacterial SSU rRNA". It matches the Rfam family "Bacterial small subunit ribosomal RNA". Lineage: Bacteria; Pseudomonadati; Pseudomonadota; Gammaproteobacteria; Enterobacterales; Enterobacteriaceae. The record is from RNAcentral.
UUGAAGAGUUUGAUCAUGGCUCAGAUUGAACGCUGGCGGCAGGCCUAACACAUGCAAGUCGAGCGGUAGCACAGAGAGCUUGCUCUCGGGUGACGAGCGGCGGACGGGUGAGUAAUGUCUGGGAAACUGCCUGAUGGAGGGGGAUAACUACUGGAAACGGUAGCUAAUACCGCAUAAUGUCGCAAGACCAAAGUGGGGGACCUUCGGGCCUCAUGCCAUCAGAUGUGCCCAGAUGGGAUUAGCUAGUAGGUGGGGUAAUGGCUCACCUAGGCGACGAUCCCUAGCUGGUCUGAGAGGAUGACCAGCCACACUGGAACUGAGACACGGUCCAGACUCCUACGGGAGGCAGCAGUGGGGAAUAUUGCACAAUGGGCGCAAGCCUGAUGCAGCCAUGCCGCGUGUGUGAAGAAGGCCUUCGGGUUGUAAAGCACUUUCAGCGGGGAGGAAGGCGUUAAGGUUAAUAACCUUGGCGAUUGACGUUACCCGCAGAAGAAGCACCGGCUAACUCCGUGCCAGCAGCCGCGGUAAUACGGAGGGUGCAAGCGUUAAUCGGAAUUACUGGGCGUAAAGCGCACGCAGGCGGUCUGUCAAGUCGGAUGUGAAAUCCCCGGGCUCAACCUGGGAACUGCAUUCGAAACUGGCAGGCUAGAGUCUUGUAGAGGGGGGUAGAAUUCCAGGUGUAGCGGUGAAAUGCGUAGAGAUCUGGAGGAAUACCGGUGGCGAAGGCGGCCCCCUGGACAAAGACUGACGCUCAGGUGCGAAAGCGUGGGGAGCAAACAGGAUUAGAUACCCUGGUAGUCCACGCCGUAAACGAUGUCGAUUUGGAGGUUGUGCCCUUGAGGCGUGGCUUCCGGAGCUAACGCGUUAAAUCGACCGCCUGGGGAGUACGGCCGCAAGGUUAAAACUCAAAUGAAUUGACGGGGGCCCGCACAAGCGGUGGAGCAUGUGGUUUAAUUCGAUGCAACGCGAAGAACCUUACCUGGUCUUGACAUCCACAGAACUUAGCAGAGAUGCUUUGGUGCCUUCGGGAACUGUGAGACAGGUGCUGCAUGGCUGUCGUCAGCUCGUGUUGUGAAAUGUUGGGUUAAGUCCCGCAACGAGCGCAACCCUUAUCCUUUGUUGCCAGCGGUUAGGCCGGGAACUCAAAGGAGACUGCCAGUGAUAAACUGGAGGAAGGUGGGGAUGACGUCAAGUCAUCAUGGCCCUUACGACCAGGGCUACACACGUGCUACAAUGGCAUAUACAAAGAGAAGCGACCUCGCGAGAGCAAGCGGACCUCAUAAAGUAUGUCGUAGUCCGGAUUGGAGUCUGCAACUCGACUCCAUGAAGUCGGAAUCGCUAGUAAUCGUAGAUCAGAAUGCUACGGUGAAUACGUUCCCGGGCCUUGUACACACCGCCCGUCACACCAUGGGAGUGGGUUGCAAAAGAAGUAGGUAGCUUAACCUUCGGGAGGGCGCUUACCACUUUGUGAUUCAUGACUGGGGUGAAGUCGUAACAAGGUAACCGUAGGGGAACCUGCGGUUGGAUCACCUCCUU